This 119-nucleotide ribosomal RNA is filed under the name Pteropus alecto (black flying fox). Lineage: Eukaryota; Metazoa; Chordata; Mammalia; Chiroptera; Pteropodidae. The record is from RNAcentral.
GUCUACGGCCAUGCUACCCUGAACAAUCCCGAUCCUGUCUGAUCUCGGAAGCUAAGUAGAGUAAGACCUGGUUAGUACUUGGAUGGGAGACCAUCUAGGAAGACGAGGUGCUACAGGCG